RNA transcript from Selaginella moellendorffii, 1136 nucleotides. It is a transcript of the gene named 2-Cys peroxiredoxin BAS1, chloroplastic, with no coding region annotated. The record is from RefSeq and is a predicted model, not a curated record. The transcript has 4 exons. NCBI's taxonomy places the organism in Eukaryota, Viridiplantae, Streptophyta, Lycopodiopsida, Selaginellales, Selaginellaceae.
GAUUUUGGCUAGGGUUUCUUGCCACACUCGAAUUACGUGCUGGAAGCAAGGCAUUAGGAGUGAGACAGCAUCCAAGUAUUGAAAUCCAAUAGCUUCCAUCCAAUCCAAUCCUAUGCCUAGCCAUGGCACUGUUGCAACACAGAUCCAUUUGUAUGGCCGAUUCCAAGUCUUCAGCUACCGCUACCGCUAAAGACUUGGAUGCUCUCUAGGUAUUGGAGCCCCGAUCAAAAUGCCAGAGAUCCACUGUCCUGGCUAUGGCACUGUCCUGACCGUGUCCAAAUAUCUUGGUGUUGUCCCUGUUUUUUUAUUGAUUGCUACUAUACUAGGAGAAUCUAAUGGAUGCCAAUGGCACUCACUUGUUCAUGGAUCAUAGUAGUACAAUGGAGGUAUUCUAACAUAGCUUUAAAUAUAGCAUUCUUCAUCCCCUUUUCCAUGGAAAUUUUGACACCAUUGUGGAUUUUCUUCUUUUCUAGAGCUUAGAUGUUCCAUUGGUCGGAAACAAGGGUCUGGAUUUCGAGGCUGAGUCAGUCUUCAAUCAGGAAUUCAUCAAGGUGAAGCUUUCAGACUACUUCUAUGUCAUGUUGUUCUUCUAUCCUUUGGACUUCAUGAUCAUUUGCCCGAUAGGUUGGUUGAUGACAAUUGCGUUGGUUUGAAGAUUUCUUCAAACUUUUCUUUUCCUCCUACUAGAAAUUGCCUCUUUCUGUGAUCGUUACUCGGAAUUUGAGAAGAUCAACACGGAAGUGCUCAAAGUCUCUGUUGACAGUGUGUUUUCCCAUCUGUCUUGGGUUCAAACUGAGAGAAAGUUGGGUGGCCUAGGCAAUUUGCACUAUCCCCUUGUUUCAGACAUCUCCAAGUCAAUCUCCAAGGCUUACAACGUACACAUCUCUAAUCUGGGAAUUGCCCUCUGAGGCCUCUUCAUGCUAGCAGCAGGGAGUCAAAAACAGCAAGCCAGCAGCAGCAAGUGGCACAAGCGGCAAGCGAGUGAUGAUCCAGCUCCAUCUCGCAAUGCAGUGGUGCAGCUAUGAGCAUCCAACUCCAGCCGUAGCUAUUGCCAAUUUCAUUUCUAGCUGCAAGCAGCAUUGUAAUUGAGCGGCGGUUUAGAUAUCAAUUCAAUUAAUGAUCCAGAUUUUUGCUUA